UCUCCUAAGCCAACAGGCUUCUGUUGUCAUUAAUUCAUCAGGCUGGGCCCAGACCCCAAGGUCAGGCCUGUCUGCCUGAGAGGCAGAGCUAAAAACAGCUCCAGCCUCAGAGAGGGGCCAGCCCAGUGCCUAAUUGCUCAGCUCUCGGCGCGUCCGUCCGCCCUGUGCUCCCCUGGCAGGCAGCUUGAAGAGUGAAGACUCACUUUGAUUUGGAGAUGGAGAAGAAAAGACGGCUGUUUGCAGAAAGAAGCUAUUGCAGACUGGGAGAAAAGAUUAUUCGUGGAAGCUGGAAACUGAAUGCAAUGGUUCAUGCCUGUAUCUCGGCACUUAUGAAGCUGAGCUAUGUAGCAAGACUCUGUCUCAAAAAAAACAAAACAAAAAAAACAAAUCAGUGGAUCCCGUGUGGAAGUCUAGACCAUGAAGCCAUGAGGUAAGCUGAAGACUAAGGAAAGCCAGCAGGACAGCUACGCCCUGAGAGCUGGAGCUCCAAGGACAGGCGAGGACUCAUACAAGCUCGGGCAGGCGGGUUGGGAACCAAUUCAACCACUCCGUCUUUUCCUUCUAACCCUCAGUGAAUUCAGAGAUGCCCACCCCAGUGAGGAGAGCCAUCUGCUUUAUUCAAUCCACCAGUUCCAAAGCUAAUUCCCAAUGGAAAUAGAUGGGAAACAUACCCAGAAAUCACAUUUAACCAGAUUUCUGGGCACUUGUUUGCUCUGUCAAGUUUGAUAUAAAAUUAACCAUCACGUGCUUUGUAUCAGAGAAGCUGUCAUGUGGGGAAGGAUGGGAGUGGAAAAGAACCCAGGAGCACUGCAUUGUUUUCCUAGUGCUUCUGGAACAGCAAACACAGAGGGUUAGACACACAAGCACCGGGGGCUGGAGAGAUGGCUCAGUGGCUAAGAGUGUGAGCUGCUCUUCCGAAGGAUCCAGGUUCAGUCCCAGCACCCACAUGACAGUAUACAACUACCUGUAACUCCAGCUCCAGGGGAUCUAUCUGAUGCCCUCCUCUGGCACUGCACACACAUGGUACACAGACAUGCUUUCAGACAAAACUGUAGUUGAGGUUUUCCUGGUCCUGCCUGGCCCACGGUCAGGACAAAUCUCUCUCACCCGCCAGUCCCAAAGCCACUCAGACCCAAGUAAACACACAGAGACUUAUAUUACUUGUAAACUGUAUGGCCAUGGCAGGUUUCUUGCUAUCUAGUUCUUAUAUCUUAAAUUAACCCAUUUCUAUUAAUCUAUACCUUGCCACAUGGCUCGUGGCUUACCGGUAUUUUACAUGUUGCUUCUCAUGGCAGCGGCUAGCAGUGUCUCCUGACUCAGUCCUCCUGACUCAGAAUUCUCCUCUCUCUUUGUCCCGCCUAUACUUCCUGCCUGGCUACUGGCCAAUCAGCACUUUAUUUAUUAACCAAUCAGAGCAACACAUUCACAGCAUGCAGAUAUCCACAGCACAAAACACUCAUUCAUAUACAUAAAAAAAAAAACCCUCUUAAACACACACCAAUAUUUACUGUCUCAUGAUUCGGGAGGCCAGAAGUCCAAAAUCAAGGGGUUAUGAGGACUUGUUCUUACCAGAAACUCUAAGAAAGGAUGCCUCUCACCUUAGCUAUGUCUGUGAAAGAGAUGCCUGCAGAAGUAGGAGAUAGUAGGAAAGGAGUUUAGUGUGACUAUAGCCAGGACUCAGGCUGUGAGCCACCCUGUACCAGGAUACUUGGAGAAUAUAGACCCAGCCCAAGGUUGUUAGACAACUACACUCAAUGUCACACAUGACAAACACAACUCUGGUGUCAGGUGACUACAUCACUGCUUCACAUCAGAUCCCAGAAAAGACAUUUCUAGAAUCACUGGAAGCAUCCACAUCCCAAGUUCCUUUUCAGUAAAAUCCUUUGGCUGGUCAAUCCCAAUCUGUGGUAGCCACUUCUUGGAAGGAAGACUGAGAAGGGUGGAGAGAAGGUGAUAGCAGCCUUGUCAAAGGAUCCUGCUAGCCUUUAUCUAGUCAUCUGACACUCCUCCUGGGUGCCUGAAACAUGCCCCACAGUACCAAAAUCCUGGACUCAGCCCACAUAGCAAGUCCAACAGACUUGUUUUGUAUGCCUUACCUGACCUGAACUUUAGCCUCCUUGCCUCAGUGAGUGUGCCCUCUAAGAUUAGCUGUGAAGAAAGAGUCCACCUACUCCAGAGGGGUGGAAUUGCAAAGCUUCCCACUUAAGGGAAGGAAGGGGUGGGUGAUCUCAUACUACCUGUCCUCCUUCUGCCUCAGCCUUCCAACUACUGAGACUGCAGAUACUCACACCCGGAAGCCAUGUUCUCUUUCACAUUGUACUGGCUUAACACUGUCAAACCCCAACCACCCCAUAUUUGUUCAGGAAGAUGUACCCCUACUUGAUUUUGUUCCUUUUAAGCUCCAGGUUGGUUCACCCCAGCUCUUGACACUGAAAACACACCUUUCCCUGGUGAUGAGGAUGUGAGGCGAUUCAACAGGCCUGAAAUGCAGCACGUGGGUACUUUCUGGGUGGAAAAGACCCACAGUGGAGGACAGAGCUCCUGGAGCAGGUGAGAGCUGUAUACAAGUCACAAGGAGCUACACAUAACAUGCAAAGGAGGAAGGCAGAGGUGGCCUGAUUCUAUCAUCAGUACAGCCAGCUGUGGUGGUUACAAUAGAAGAGCGGUCGGGGUUCAUGCAGUCUGUCCUCUGCCUUCGCACAUGCUAGCCCCUGUCAGACACUCUGCCUUUGCACAUGCUAGCCCCUAUCAGACACUCUACCAGCCCCACAGCCUGUGUAUCUUCCUUCAAGGUGUAACUUCAGGGUCACCUGUUCUGAGGAAUCACCUUCAUUCCCCGAGACCCAGAACUGGGUCCCCACAUGCACCACACACCCUCCCUUACAGAGUAUGCCACCAUCAUCGGUUUACAUUCCUACACUUGAGACCACAGAGUUCUUCCAGAAAAGGCCCAAACUUUAGAUUCUUAAUGAGUUUUUGGAAAGAGGAGGGAAAAAAAGAAAGAAAGGAAGAUACAGAGAAAGGGGGUAGAAGGAGAAGGAAGGAAAGUGUGGUGGUUUGUGUAAGGAUGGCCCUCAUAGACUCCUAUUUGAAUGCUUAGUCACCAGGCAGUGGAACUGUUUGAAAGGACUGGAAGGAUUAGAAGGUGUGUCCUUGUGGGAGGAAGCGUGUCACUGGGAAUGGGCUCUGAGAUUUCAAAACCCAUACCAGGUCCAGGUUCUGCCUUUCUGUCUGUGGACCAGGGUGUAGUCUUGGCCGAUGCCCCACCACCUGCCUGCAUCCACCACACUCCCUGUCAUUAUGAUGAUGGACUCACCUCUAAAACUGUAAGCCAGCCCCCAGUUAAAUGUUUUCUUUUAUAAGAUUUGUCUUGGUCAUGAUGUCUUUUCACAGCAAUAGAACAGUGACUAAGACAGAAAAAACAGAAAGAUAGAGAGA
Molecule: long non-coding RNA, 3438 nt
Organism: Peromyscus californicus insignis
Lineage: Eukaryota; Metazoa; Chordata; Mammalia; Rodentia; Cricetidae
Exons: 3
Source: RefSeq, a predicted model, not a curated record